AACGGCUAUACCAUGCUGAAUAUACCAGUUCUCGUUAGAUCACCGAAGUCAAGCAUCAUUGGGCGCGGUCAGUACUUGGGUGGGAA
This is a non-coding RNA of Caerostris darwini, 86 nucleotides long. The record is from the annotation of a GenBank genome assembly. NCBI's taxonomy places the organism in Eukaryota, Metazoa, Arthropoda, Arachnida, Araneae, Araneidae.